RNAcentral lists this ribosomal RNA (435 nucleotides) under uncultured bacterium. Its description in RNAcentral is "partial 16S ribosomal RNA". It matches the Rfam family "Bacterial small subunit ribosomal RNA", at positions 29 to 507 of the family's 1533-position model. The record is from RNAcentral.
AGCGAACGCUGGCGGCAGGCUUAACACAUGCAAGUCGAACGGGCAUCUUCGGAUGUCAGUGGCAGACGGGUGAGUAACACGUGGGAACGUACCCUUCGGUUCGGAAUAACUCAGGGAAACUUGAGCUAAUACCGGAUACGCCCUUUCGGGGAAAGGUUUACUGCCGAAGGAUCGGCCCGCGUCUGAUUAGCUUGUUGGUGGGGUAACGGCCUACCAAGGCGACGAUCAGUAGCUGGUCUGAGAGGAUGAUCAGCCACACUGGGACUGAGACACGGCCCAGACUCCUACGGGAGGCAGCAGUGGGGAAUAUUGGACAAUGGGCGCAAGCCUGAUCCAGCCAUGCCGCGUGAGUGAUGAAGGCCUUAGGGUUGUAAAGCUCUUUUGUCCGGGACGAUAAUGACGGUACCGGAAGAAUAAGCCCCGGCUAACUUCGUG